UUGACUGUAUAUGCUGUCUCUUAUGACUAUUUUUCUGCUUGUUGCUGUAUGAAAAAUUAAAGAACUUAUUCAUCUGUGUACAUCCUACCAACUAUUUUCACAUGGCUAGUCCAGUUAAUUGAUCCAGCAAGAGUGCACUCUCAUGCCUGAAGCAGUCCAGGCUUUAACAGAUGCCUUGAACCUCAGCUUUUCCUCUGCUGGCCUUGGAUUAUCUGUAUAUUUGUCAUAGAAAAUAGUAAGAGAUUUUUUUUCUUAUUUUUUUUUCCCCUAAGAAAUAUGCUAAUACAAAAAAGUGCUUGGAAACACAGCUUCUUGGAAUUUGAAGAGCUCCCUGAUCUCUGGAAACACAUACCAAAGGGGGAAAAAAAUACGUACAUUCACAUUCAACAGAGCCACAGAGAACAUGUUUGAACAAGAGGUCAGACAAAUUUAUGGAAAGGUGCCAGUAUAUAUUCCCCUGAAGAGAGAUUAUUCCUGUGUCAAUUAUUCCUACAAGCAACAUCAAAGCACCAAGACUCACAAUAUUGGAACUUUAGGACAACAUCAUUCACUUGAGUGAUAACUAGGAUCAACUCAUUUCAGCUUGUCAUUAUAUUUUACCAGUAUAGGUAAAGGGCUAAUAAUAAGCAACUUAAAUCAAGACUCUUGUUAGCACCUUCUAGACUUUUAUUUUGUCAAAAGCAAUAGUUAAAUUGCUGUGAAAAAGUCAGGGUUGUUUCUUAUAGGAGUGUCAAGUGGAAAAAUGUGAGUAGUAGAAUAUUUCC
This 764-nucleotide long non-coding RNA is filed under the name Cyanistes caeruleus (blue tit). RNAcentral's name for it is "lncRNA (ENSCCEG00000014466.1)". Lineage: Eukaryota; Metazoa; Chordata; Aves; Passeriformes; Paridae. The record is from RNAcentral.